ACCUACGGGGCGCAGCAGUAGGGAAUCUUCCACAAUGGACGAAAGUCUGAUGGAGCAACGCCGCGUGAGUGAAGAAGGGUUUCGGCUCGUAAAGCUCUGUUGGUAGUGAAGAAAGAUAGAGGUAGUAACUGGCCUUUAUUUGACGGUAAUUACUUAGAAAGUCACGGCUAACUACGUGCCAGCAGCCACGGUAAUACGUAGGUGGCAAGCGUUGUCCGGAAUUACUGGGUGUAAAGGGAGCGCAGGCGGGAAGGCAAGUCAGCUGUUGAACCUACGGG
This 278-nucleotide ribosomal RNA is filed under the name uncultured bacterium. Its description in RNAcentral is "partial 16S ribosomal RNA". It matches the Rfam family "Bacterial small subunit ribosomal RNA", at positions 337 to 607 of the family's 1533-position model. The record is from RNAcentral.